GCACAGUGUAUGGAUGUGAAUGCAAGGAGUUACAGGUGGUCUGAGUCCCGCAGCAAAGUGUGCCAGAUGUGUGACAUGGGAGAGGAUGAGACGGUGGAACAUGUGGUGCUGGAGUGUGUGCAGUAUGCCAGAGACAGGAAUGAGAUGAUGCAAGUGAUACUGACUGAGUUAGGGCAUGAUAGGAAUGAAAGAGUGGAGAAGACAGGAAAGGAAUGGAUGGUGUUGUUGCUGGGACUGGGUAGAGAGGCCAAUGAAAGGAUGAUUGAGGCGGUGAAAGAGUUUCUGGAGAGAAUGUGGCGUGCCAGGUGUAUGAACAAUUAGGAUAGAGGAUGCUGUUCGUUUCUCUUUUUUUUUUCCCCCUUUCUACAGGAGUUGCCGAUCCAAAGGCCUGGCUCAGGAGUGAUCCUGUGCCACCUGUACCAUCAAGAUCAAGAUCAAGAUCUUGUUUACCUUUGUCACAGUGCUCCUCCUCCUGCUGUCCGUGUGUAUGUGUGUCUGUGUGUGCGUGUGAGCCUGCCUGUGUGUGUGUGUGUGCGUGUGUGUGUGCGUGUGUCUUUUGAAGGCAUCUCUCAGGCCGCUGCUGUCUCCUCUGCCUGGAAGGAAGGAGAACAAAUAGAGGAAGGAAGGAAGGAAGGAAAGAAGGAAGGAAGGAAGAAAGAAAGGACAGUGUUGAGUCUCGCAGGUCACGCCAGCGUCUUGUAAACUGUAAAUUUGCUUGCUUCACCUGCCAAUUGUGAACCACCAAGCAAAAACCAAGCCAUCCUAUUGGUCAACAGGGGAUCACCAUCAGCCCUCCCAUUGGCCCAGAGCUUUGUGGAUUGUGAUUGGACGGCUGGCUGGCUGACCUGACCUGACCUCAACCGAGCCAACAUGAUUUACGUUUUCCUCGUUGACACUGGCACCAUGAUGACCUUUGACAUGAACCUGGCACUAGAGAGUGUUGAGGUGUUGAAGGGUGCAAUACACAAUGCUGUCAAGGUGCCCCCAGACAAACAGGUGCUGCUGGCAUCUGGGGGUGAAACACUGGACUCCUGCAAGCGGGUAUGUCAUUACUCGGCCGGCACAGACACGUCCCCCAUCUUUCUGUUCUCCAAGGUGGCCAUUGAGGGAGCGGCUCCACCAACCCCUUCUGUGCAGCCUGGCGGGGACGGCGACCUCAGGGCACAGGUGGAGGGGUGUCUCAACAUGCCAGCCACUUACAACACUGUGGUGGCGCGGACACAGUUAGCACAGCAGUUUUACGAGCACGCUAGUGAGGUCACCAGAACGUGUCGCCAACUUGUUCACGACCAGCAUCUGCAGCAACAAGGCUGGGCAGCAGUGGUGGCCAACUUGGAGGACAUUGUGGCAGCCUUCAGAACAAGACAUGACGCAUUCCAGCAAAAUUUUGUGGAGUAUCUCAGUGGCCGGGAGGAGAAGGUCGCCCUGCUUCAGUCUUUUGAAGAGGACCUUAAGCUACCGGCAAGGAUUCCAGUCUUCCCUGAACUCUUGGGGAAGACACAAGAGGAAGAGGAAGAGGAAGAAGCUGGGAAGAAGAGGAGGACAAGCACAGCACAGAAGAAAGAGGAGGAGGAAGAGAAGGAAGAGGAGGAGAAGGAGGAGGAGGAAGAGGAGGAAGAGCAGGAGGAGGAGAAAAGAGGAGGAGAAGGAGGAGGAGGAGGAGAAGGAGGAAAAAGAGAAAUGAGGCAAGUGUCACUGCUGGACUGGAUCAGCGCCAAGGACAGCCAAAGUGACGUCAGACAGAUUGCCCAACUCUGCUGCAGGGGACUGGCUCAGAUCAGUGAGGGGCUGCUGGAACAAGUGGGGCAAGAGGUCAGCGC
Scylla paramamosain (green mud crab) is the source of this 1820-nucleotide long non-coding RNA. RefSeq lists it as uncharacterized. The transcript has 10 exons. The record is from RefSeq and is a predicted model, not a curated record. NCBI's taxonomy places the organism in Eukaryota, Metazoa, Arthropoda, Malacostraca, Decapoda, Portunidae.